RNAcentral lists this ribosomal RNA (311 nucleotides) under uncultured bacterium. RNAcentral describes it as "bacterial SSU rRNA". It matches the Rfam family "Bacterial small subunit ribosomal RNA", at positions 24 to 335 of the family's 1533-position model. The record is from RNAcentral.
UCAGGACGAACGCUGGCGGCGUGCUUAACACAUGCAAGUCGAGCGGUAAGGCCCUUUCGGGGGUACACGAGCGGCGAACGGGUGAGUAACACGUGGGUGACCUGCCCUCAGCUCUGGGAUAAGCCUGGGAAACCCGGGUCUAAUACUGGAUAUGACUCCAUGACGCAUGUUGUGGGGUGGAAAGCCUUGUGCGGCUGAGGAUGGGCCCGCGGCCUAUCAGCUUGUUGGUGGGGUGANGGCCUACCAAGGCGACGACGGGUAGCCGGCCUGAGAGGGCGACCGGCCACACUGGGACUGAGACACGGCCCAGA